CCCCACCGUCCCCUUCCCCUUUCCCCUUCUCCCCUUAAAUACGAUAGGUGCAUCCUUCUUAUUGACAUGCGCUUUAACACUUACGAUCCAUAUUUACUACUAGGAAAUUACAAGAUGUUCAAAACACCCGAUAUUCCAUAUCCAAUCCAAACCCAACUUGGCCUGACCCGAACUCGAUUCAAACCUUAUAAAAGUGGAUACUAUAUAGGUUAGAAAAUUAUAUAUCCAUUGAAGUUUCAGAUAUGGAUCCAAAUACAUUAUACCCAUACCUAACUCAGACUCGACCCUGACCUCUUCCUUUGAUAAGUAGGGUCUAGAAUCAUUUUCAUAUCCGGACCCAGACCCGGACCUCCACUCGGGCCUAGAAAAAUAUCCGAAUGUCAAAAGUUAAAGCGAAGAGAAAAAAAAAUAGAAAACUAGAUACUUAUUCUUUUCACUAUAAUAUUUUAGACUUAUUGUGUAUGUGUUUUAACUAUAUUAUAGUAGGCGCAUCCAUUUCAUACUUUAUAAUAUAUCAGUGAAGUAAUCCGCAUGAUGCGACGGAUAGAUAAUAGAAAAAAAAAUAUUUAUGGGAGAAAUAAAAACAUAGGAAUAUAGAUAUCCCAUGACUGUUGAGAAUAGGGCAGCCGGCGAUGACACUAUAUGUCGUCCUUAUCAAGAACGCAUGAGAAGCAGGAGCAGUGGAUAGGGGCCAAAGGGCUUCAAGUAGCGAGUGAGAGGAAAAAGGGGAGAGAAAAAAAAAAUUAAAAUCAUGAGUGGAGAGAUUUGAAACUGCUACGUAGGUAAGGUGAAGGAAGAGAAAGAGACGCCGCUAUCAAUUUGGGAGAUAAAGAAAAGUAAAAGAUGGGAGGAAAAAGAAAAGAGAAAGAAAGAGAGUUGAAGGAUGUGGCUGUACGGGAGAGGAAGUGUCUUACAAAGAUAAAAAAGAAUAAAAAUAAAUAAAUAAAUAAUGGGUCCCACAAUCCUUAAAUGAGGGUGGUAUAUCCACAUAGGAUUUGGUCAUGAGAAAUCAUGUGUAGGUAUAAAAGAUGUUAUGUGACUAGUUGUAUGUAUUUUAUGGAAUUAUGUUAUAUAUGCUUUAAUUAUUACUAGUGUAGAGACCGCGCGAUGCAGUGGGUAGAUAAUAAAAAUAAUUUAAAAAUUUUAAUAAAAGUUAUAUUUACAGCUUAUUGAUAUAUAGAAAACUAUACCAUAUUAAGUACAACCAAUUUGCAUGACUAAAUUCAACUAUUAAAAAAAUAAAAUUAUAGCUAGAACAUACUAAUUAAUAGAAUAUUAAUAUGGUGCAUGUAAUUAAAUGUUACUAAUUAGAGGAGUGGGGAUGAAGGGUUGGGCGUUGAGAAGAGAAAAAGGUGGUUUGAUUUAAAGUUGGGCUAUGAGAAUGAAGGAUAGCAUGUCACGUGGCAAAAAGAAUUUUAUGGUAUAUGCAAAAGAGUUACAAAAGAGAGGAGGUGGGAGAUUAAUGGAGAAGGCCAGAGUGGAUUAAAGAAUAUUAAUAUGGUACAUAUAAUUAAAUGUUGCACUUUGCAUGUAAUUAGAGGAGUGGGAAGGUGAAGGGUUGGGUGUUGAGAAGAAGAAAAUGUGAUUUGAUUUAAAGUUGAGCUAUGAGAAUGAAAUGUAACAUACCACAUAGCAAAAAAUAUUGUGGCUUCAUAUAGGUUUAUAGAUGUUGUUACAUGUACUUAGGUGGUGGUUUUAUAUAUUUUUGAGUAAUUAAUACAUGAACAACUAUUGCAAUUUUUUUUUUUUUUUGACUUGUCAUGUAAUAAAUGUGUGUUUUAUACCAAUAAUAUACAUAUGAAUACCUAUACCCAAUCUAGAACAGACCGUACCCGAGCUAUAUCCAAUCUUAAGUGGGUAGUAUACAAAUAGUCACUAUCCAUACCAACUCAAAUGUACUUGACAGAUAUAUUAGAAAUUAAGUACCCAAACUCAAACCUGCCCCAAAAUUGAAUGGGUAUAGUAUGUUUUUUUUUCCUACCUUUUUUUAAGAUAUGGAUACAAUAUAUUAACAAUCCAGAUCCGAUCAAGUACACGAACAUCUCUAAAAAAUUAUCUCAUUGAAUUAUACCGCUAAAUUUAAUGUGUUAAAUUCUUGCUAAAGUCGAUGCAGUCUCUAUCUGCACAUAUCACAAGAUCUAUAAAUCUAUAUUCUAUAAUCUAUAAAAUACAUAAAUCUCCAACCCUAAAAAAGAUCCCUCCUUAUUUUGGGAGUUGUGGGGUCCACAUAUAUUUUUAUUAAGGGUUAAUUGCACCAUUGAUCGCCAACUUUUGCACUAUUUUUUUAUUUUGGUCCCUUAUAUGUUUUUUCAAUCAAGUUCCCAACAUCUUGAUUUCAUUGUGAUUACGUCAGCCAUUAAAAGAGGUGUUAAAAUUUACGAAAUUGCCAUUUCAGUGCCUACUUGAAUUUUUUUUGCAUGCCAAUUUUGGCCCCUAAACUUCGCAUAUUUUUCGCUUUAGUCCCUAAAAAUAAAAAUUUAAAAUUUUAAUUUAAAUUCAAAAUUAAUAUUAAAAUUAAAAUUUUAAAAUAAUCAAAAAUUAAAAUUUUAAAUUUUAAUUUAAAAUUUGAAUUUGAAUUAAAUUCAAAUUUUACAUUUGAAUUUUAAAU
Molecule: long non-coding RNA, 2608 nt
Filed under: Ananas comosus (pineapple)
Lineage: Eukaryota; Viridiplantae; Streptophyta; Magnoliopsida; Poales; Bromeliaceae
Description: long non-coding RNA (ACOM_LNC032492)
Source: RNAcentral